Molecule: long non-coding RNA, 1513 nt
Organism: Apis mellifera (honey bee)
Lineage: Eukaryota; Metazoa; Arthropoda; Insecta; Hymenoptera; Apidae
Exons: 2
Source: RefSeq, a predicted model, not a curated record
AAUAAAAUAUGUACUGCAAUGCUAGCAAGUUGGCAAUCAGAUGUUCAGAAAAAUAAUAUAAUGGUUAAGAUAAGAUGGAAUACUUAUGUAUUUCAUGAAUAUUACAAGCAACUUGAAGAAGACGUUAUUGUUAAAGUAUAUAAUACUAUAAUUCAAAUAACAUUUGAAUAUAUAUCAUUUAAUUAAUUAGGUAUUCAUAUUCGAAAAACUACACAACAAUAAAUGACAUGGUUUCAAGAAAUAUAUUUUAUGCAUUAAAGCUUUCACAAUUGUUAUACGUUUUGCACUCUUGUAUGAUAAGUUAUUAGUCAGUGAUGAAAUGUUUGUGAAUGUAUAUCUGCCUUUGUUAUGAAAACAAUAAUGUACGAGGUUGAAUUUAAAAUAGUAAUGUGUUUAAAUAUCGAUACAAAGUAUUUAUGUUUCUUUAAGACAUUUAUUUCAAAUAAAUACACGAAUCUAUGAAAAAAAAAGAUAUUUUUUUUAUAUACAGAUGUUUCAAAAUAAAAAUAUGAUUCUGAAAAUUUAAAUUCUUUAAUUCUUCAUUAUUCAUAAUUUCCUUUUCUAAUAUUUCUUCUCAAUUAUAAAAAGACAUGAAUUGCCUUAGUUACAUGGAUUAUAAUAAUAUCAAGCAUUAUAAAUUUAUAUUUUAUAAACCGUUAAAUUUUUCUUUGUAUAAAUUUGUAUUCACAUUAUUAUCAUUGCUCUCCAUUCUAUGAUUAACUUAUAUGAUUUUAUCAACCCCCACAUAACUAUGUGACUAUCAUGUUAAAUAUAUUUCUGAAUCUUUUAAUCUUAAAUACUAUAUUAUUUAAUAAAUAUAUUUAAUUAUAUGUAACAUAUAUAAUAAUAUGAGAAUUUUAUGAUAUGAUUCAUCCAUUCACACUUUCACAAUAUCGCGAUAUCGUUCAACUGUUCGCUGAAAAAAAACCUAACCUAAUAAUCUAAAUGUUCGAUAUAAGAUUAUCAGAUAAUAUUUUUUUUUCUUCUAAGAAGAAUGUAAAAAAUAUUUUUAUUUUGAAAUUAACUAUGUAUAUAUAUAAAAUGUUUAAAAAAUAUUGGAAUAUUUACAUCUGUAAACUGAAGAUGUCCUUAUGUAAUUUAUUAAAUAAUUUCAAGCAACAUUUUUCUUUGGCUUUGUUCACAAAAUACUACUGGUCAAUCACGAAACGCAAACAUAUCUCGAAGAAAGUGUUGAAUAUUAUAUUUAUUUUAUUCAUGAUAUAAUUCGAUAAUUAAUUUUUUUUUUUCGAUAAAAAAAUAUUUCAACAAACAAUUAGCGAAUUUGGCCACGAAGAAAAUAUUUAUUUCGAAAUAAUACGUUCAUUUAUCGAAUCGUUUAUUAAAAUAUAUCGAAUUAAUUUCAUUGAUUAAUUUUAACUUGAUACUAUAAGUAUUUUUGAAAUAUUUAAAUAUCAUUUUUGAUAACAUUCAAUAUCAUUCACUGUCUCUCGUUUCUAAAUACGAUCUUUGAAAAUACGUUGCACAUAUAUCAUUUUCUCACAUUAUCUACAAA